GGCGGCGUGCUUAACACAUGCAAGUCGAACGCGAAAGGGACUUCGGUCCGUGAGUAAAGUGGCGCACGGGUGAGUAACGCGUAGAUAACCUGUCUUCAUGUCUGGAAUAAUACGCCGAAAGGGGUACUAAUACCGGAUAUUCUUGCUUUUCAUAAGUUAUGCAAGCAAAGGUGGCCUCUGCAUAUGCUACUGCAUGAAGAGGGGUCUGCGUACCAUUAGCUAGUAGGUGGGGUAAUGGCCUACCUAGGCGACGAUGGUUAGCGGGUCUGAGAGGAUGAUCCGCCACACUGGCACUGGAACACGGGCCAGACUCCUACGGGAGGCAGCAGUGAGGAAUAUUGCGCAAUGGGGGAAACCCUGACGCAGCGACGCCGCGUGAGUGAGGAAGGCCUUCGGGUCGUAAAGCUCUGUCAAGAGGAAAGAAGUGUACAAUGGCUAAUACCUGUUGUAUUUGACGGUACCUCUAAAGGAAGCACCGGCUAACUCCGUGCCAGCCGCCGC
This 501-nucleotide ribosomal RNA is filed under the name uncultured bacterium. RNAcentral's name for it is "bacterial SSU rRNA". It matches the Rfam family "Bacterial small subunit ribosomal RNA", at positions 38 to 518 of the family's 1533-position model. The record is from RNAcentral.